CCUUAAACUUAGAUAAAAUUUUCUGCACAUCCCCUCUUCACUCAGUUUGCUCCCCCCUUGCUUCUCCACCAAAAUCUGCAGAAACAAGGCCUUUCCCUUCAUGACAGAAUUAAGCAUAGCCUUAUUACUGCUGCUCUCCACCGUGGGGUCACUUAAACUCAGCCCCACCAAUUCUACCCUCUUUCCCUUGUGCAAGAAUUUCAUGGUAAGUUGGGAAAAAUCCCAAACUAUGGAUCCCAAUGUUUCCAGCAAUUUAAUACCUAAAACCACAUCACACCCACCAAGCUGUAGUAUAGAGAAAGAUCUCUGUUGAUGACCAGUCUGUGUUGGUUGUAAUCUGGUAAAAGGAAAAGCAAGCACGCGAUGGAAGCAACAAUACAAGAAUGGCACAGCAAGUGUUUCAUGGAAAAACUGAGAGAUAAAAGCGUUCUCACGCUGGGCUAGUUCGAGGUAGCCUCUUAAACUCAUCCCCACCAAUUCUACCUUCUUUCCCUUGUACAGGAAUCUCCGGAGCCUAAUUACUUGCCCAUUUUCGAACCAUCCCAUGAAUCCCAAUAUAGCGAAGCUGGUCACGGAUGGGUUCUACAAUCAAAGCCCGUGCCAAGCUCACUUCAGCUCUACAUGGGUAUUUACGCAACGACUUCCCACGCUUUACGUCUCUGAAACUGCCCUACACCACACGUGCUCUCAAGCUUUUCGAUGAAAUGCCUGAAAGAAAAAUAAUCUGGUUUCACUCAAUGCCGUACUUUCUGGUUUUUAGAAUGGGUAUCGUAGAGACCCAGAACAUAAAAACAAGAUGGGUUUGGAACGCUCAGGGCCACAGGCUGAAUUCCAGGACUAUGAGUUACUUCCAUGUCGGCAACUUUUUGGGAUGAUGAGUACGAGGCGAUCGUUUGAAACCAAAAUAGGAGUAAACUGGUUGCGUGGUGGAUCUGUUUGGCCGAUCUAGUGAUUUUGGUCGUUUGAAUGAAGCUCUGUGGGUUAAUACAAAAAAUUACCAAGCAUUUGCAUCUGUUAUUGCUUCGUUCCCCAAACAAAUGGCAUUAAAGCUUUCGGAUUUAGAGCCAGAAAAUCCAACUCCUUUUGUAAUCCUUUACAAUAUGCAUGCUGCAUUUGGAAGGUGUAGGGAUGUGAAAUGAUUAAGGUUAUAAUGAGGGAUAAAAUUAUAAAGGGUUGAGAAAGCACCCUGGCUUUACUUGCCCAAAAAAAGAUGCACCCUUGCUUUAGCUUUAGAGGAUAAAUAUGAAAAGUACAUACAUGGUAUUUAAGUUGUUGUUCUCUGGUCCUAAACCAGAUUUUGUUACAUAUCUCCACUUCCAUAAAUUUGAAAGGAUUUCCGCACCUGAAGCAUCACUACUCUAACAUUUCCUUCACCACAAACCCAAAGUAGUUAUCAAAGUGGUUGGAUGGUUCAUAAAUGAAGCAAGAAAUCACAUCUCUAAGUGUAAUGACGCCAACAACUUCAUCCUCCUCUCCAGCUACCACAUAAAUCCUGUGGACUGAUCUUGAAGCAAGUUUGUGGAUCACACUGCUCAGAGUUGAAUUGGGUUUGCAUGUAAUUGGAGGGACGACUUUGCUGGCUUCUUGGGAAGCAAUGAUGUGCACGAAAUCCAUCACAGUCAGCUUCCUGAAUGAAACGGCGAAUAGAAUAAAGUCGACAGUCAAGACUAACAUGGAGGAGCAAGUUAACAUGAGGAUAGAUUGAUAUGCCUGUAGAAUCAACUCACUGCCCUGGAUGCUUACAACCUGGCCAAGGAGACAAAGGAACAUUUUGGAAGUAUGAAUUCAAUAGUGACCUAGAAGAACACUCAUUUAACAGUGCAAAGCUUACCUCUGCAGAAGACAUGAAAGGAAGUCCAAAAUCAGAUAUAGGCUGUGCAGCAAUGCUGUCAAACCAGUCCCUUCCUGCACAACCCUCAAGAACCUGAACGACUGCGGAUUGAGUAAUGAAGUUCUUUAUCUCUGGCUUGCCUAUUUCAAUUACAGCUGUGGGAGCAUCUUUUCCCAUCCUUUUAUCUGCAGCAACACCACCAGCCACUGCAGCACCAACUGCAGCAGCUGUUAGCCCCACCACUGCAGCAGGCCCUGUCGCACCCAAUGCUAGUGCCCCAAGAGCGCCAACUGCGCCUGCACCAACUCCAGCGGCUGUUGCUGAACUAGCCGAUAGGGCAACAGCAGCAACUUCUGCACUCUCCAAGACCCACAGAACAAUGGCAGAGUAAUCUAUGAUCCCUAGGUACCUAUCUCUCCAAUCUGAACUAUUUCCUUUGUCAGGGUUUCUCACAGGAGCCGAAAAAAUGUUGCAUUCAGAUAAAAUCUUUACAGCAUCAGCAACGGAAGUGUCUGCUGAAAUUUCAAUCACUACAGGAUAUAUAGGCAAUAUGCAUGGCUGUCUUUAGUGAUUCAGAUAUGCUUUCCUUCAAUUCAUGCCAAGUAAAUGAACCAAGUACUGCUAAAACUUUACAAGACUAAAACACAACAAUUUUGUUGAU
Molecule: long non-coding RNA, 2492 nt
Organism: Juglans regia (Persian walnut)
Lineage: Eukaryota; Viridiplantae; Streptophyta; Magnoliopsida; Fagales; Juglandaceae
Exons: 3
Source: RefSeq, a predicted model, not a curated record